RNAcentral lists this ribosomal RNA (440 nucleotides) under uncultured bacterium. Its description in RNAcentral is "partial 16S ribosomal RNA". It matches the Rfam family "Bacterial small subunit ribosomal RNA", at positions 338 to 795 of the family's 1533-position model. The record is from RNAcentral.
CCUACGGGUGGCUGCUGUGGGGAAUAUUGCACAAUGGGGGAAACCCUGAUGCAGCGACGCCGCGUGAAGGAAGAAGUAUUUCGGUAUGUAAACUUCUUUCAGCGGGGAAGAAAAUGACGGUAUCUGACUAUGAAGCCCUGGCUAACUACGUGCCAGCAGCCGCGGGAAUACGUAGGGGGCAAGCGUUAUCCGGAUUUACUGGGUGUAAAGGGAGCGUAGGCGGUUUAGCAAGUCAGAAGUGAAAGCCCGGGGCUCAACUCCGGGACUGCUUUUGAAACUGUUGAACUAGAGUGCAGGAGAGGGAAGUGGAAUUCCUAGUGGAGCGGUGAAAUGCGUAGAUAUUAGGAGGAACACCAGUGGCGAAGGCGGCUUACUGGACUGUAAAUGACGCUGAGGUGCGAAAGCGUGGGGAGCAAACAGGAUUAGAUACCCCAGUAGUC